GCGCUGAGUUGCGGACCAGGGACACCAGCUCCUGCGGUGAGCGGGCCGAGGCGAGUUCGUCGGUGGGUUCGACGCCGAGUCGGCGGAC
Molecule: transfer RNA, 88 nt
Filed under: Gordonia sp. YY1
Lineage: Bacteria; Bacillati; Actinomycetota; Actinomycetes; Mycobacteriales; Gordoniaceae
Description: tRNA-Arg
Source: RNAcentral